This 823-nucleotide ribosomal RNA is filed under the name alpha proteobacterium SCGC AAA288-K11. Its description in RNAcentral is "SSU rRNA". It matches the Rfam family "Bacterial small subunit ribosomal RNA", at positions 35 to 912 of the family's 1533-position model. Lineage: Bacteria; Pseudomonadati; Pseudomonadota; Alphaproteobacteria. The record is from RNAcentral.
GCUGGCGGCACGCCUAACACAUGCAAGUCGAACGAAGUAGCAAUACUUAGUGGCGAACGGGUGAGUAUAAUGUGGGUAUCUGCCCUUUGGUUUGGAAUAACACGAGGAAACUUGUGCUAAUACCGGAUAAGCCUUCACAGGGAAAGCUUUAGCGCCAAAGGAUGAGCCCGCACUUGAUUAGCUAGUUGGUAAGGUAAUAGCUUACCAAGGCUACGAUCAAUAGCUGAUCUGAGAGGAUGAUCAGCCACAUUGGGACUGAGACACGGCCCAAACUUCUACGGAAGGCAGCAGUGGGGAGUCUUGCACAAUGGGGGAAACCCUGAUGCAGCGAUGCCGCGUGAGUGAAGAAGGCCUUUGGGUUGUAAAGCUCUUUCGUCGGGGAAGAAAAUGACUGUACCCGAAUAAGAAGGUCCGGCUAACUUCGUGCCAGCAGCCGCGGUAAUACGAAGGGACCUAGCGUAGUUCGGAAUUACUGGGCUUAAAGAGCACGUAGGUGGUUAAGAAAGUUGGUGGUGAAAUCCCAAGGCUUAACCUUGGAACUGCCACCAAAACUUUUUAACUAGAGUAUGAUUGAGGUAAGCGGAAUUUCUAGUGUAGAGGUGAAAUUCGUAGAUAUUAGAAAGAACACCAAUUGCGAAGGCAGCUUUCUGGAUCAUUACUGACACUGAGGUGCGAAAGCAUGGGUAGCGAAGAGGAUUAGAUACCCUCGUAGUCCAUGCCGUAAACGAUGUGUGCUAGACGUUGGGAAUUUAUUUUUCAGUGUCGCAGCAAAAGCGUUAAGCACACCGCCUGGGGAGUACGACCGCAAGUAACUAAUGAUGCG